Molecule: unclassified non-coding RNA, 218 nt
Filed under: Hevea brasiliensis (rubber tree)
Lineage: Eukaryota; Viridiplantae; Streptophyta; Magnoliopsida; Malpighiales; Euphorbiaceae
Source: RNAcentral
AAAAAAUGAUGGCCUACUAUGUCGAUAGGGUGGGCUAGCUUAACUAUUUAUACUUUUAAGUUGAAUACCAUACAACAAUAAAUACAAACAAGUGGAACUGACAAAGUUACCACAUAAAUAAAAAAAUACAGUGUGAAAUAAAUGCAGAAAUUGUCACCAAAGUAUUUAUAGGUCUAAUGUUAGAAUCCCUCAAUCAGUGUAAAUCCCUUAAUCAGUGU